CCGCGUGAGAGUGAAGAAGUUCCGAUUCGUAACUCUGUUGUAGAGAAGAACAAGACGUAGUAACUGACGUCCCUGACGUAUCUUACAGAAAGCACGCUACUAGUGCAGCCGCGGUUAUUACGGUGGCAGCGUUGUUCUGAUUUUAUUGGGAUAAAGCGAGCGCAGGCGGUUUCUUAAGUCUGAUGUGAAAGCCCCUGGCUCAACCCGGGGAGGGGUCAUUGGAAACUGGGAGACUUGAGUGCAGAAGAGGAGAGUGGAAUUCCAGUAGCGGUGAAAUGCGUAGAUAUAUGGAGGACACCCAGUGGCGAAGGCGGCUCUCUGGUCUGUAACUGACGCUGAGGCUCGAAAGCGUGGGGAGCAAACAGGAUAGAUACCCUGGUAGUCAGCCGUAAACGAUGAGUCUAAGUGUUGGAGGGUUCCGCCCUUCAGUGCUGCAGCAAACGCAUUAAGCACUCCGCCUGGGGAGUACGACCGCAAGGUUGAAUCAAAGGAAUUGACGGGGGCCCGCACAAGCGGUGAGCAUGUGGUUUAAUUUGAAGCAACGCGAAGAACCUUACCAGGUCUUGACAUCCUUUGACCACUCUAGAGAUAGAGCUUUCCCUUCGGGGACAAAGUGACAGGUGGUGCAUGGUUGUCGUCGCUCGUGUCGUGAGAUGUUGGUUAAGUCCCGCAACGAGCGCAACCCUUAUUGUUAGUUGCCAUCAUUUAGUUGGGCACUCUAGCACUGCCGGUGACAAACCGGAGGAAGGUGGGGAUGACGUCAAAUCAUCAUGCCCCUUAUGACCUGGGCUACACACGUGCUACAAUGGGAAGUACAACGAGUCGCUAGACCGCGAGGUCAUGCAAAUCUUUUAAAGCCUCUCAGUUCGGAUUGCAGGCUGCAACUCGCCUGCAUGAAGCCGGAAUCGCUAGUAAUCGCGGAUCAGCACGCCGCGGUGAAUACGUUCCCGGGCCUUGUACACACCGCCCGUCACACCACGAGAGUUUGUAACACCCGAAGUCGGUGAGGUAACCUUUUUGGAGCCAGCCGCCUAAGGUGGGAUAG
This 1045-nucleotide ribosomal RNA is filed under the name Enterococcus faecalis. Its description in RNAcentral is "bacterial SSU rRNA". It matches the Rfam family "Bacterial small subunit ribosomal RNA", at positions 397 to 1470 of the family's 1533-position model. The record is from RNAcentral. Lineage: Bacteria; Bacillati; Bacillota; Bacilli; Lactobacillales; Enterococcaceae.